RNAcentral lists this long non-coding RNA (333 nucleotides) under Solanum tuberosum (potato). RNAcentral describes it as "long non-coding RNA (STUB_LNC007523)". The record is from RNAcentral. Lineage: Eukaryota; Viridiplantae; Streptophyta; Magnoliopsida; Solanales; Solanaceae.
UACAUCUCAAAGUUCAUGUCAGGUCAUGUUCACAACAAUUCCUCUAGCUACUUGGACAAGACUGAUCAAGAAUGAGGACAAAUGGUGGAACUCUAAGACUAGAAAAUGACGGUGACGGAUAAAAUUUCAUAGCUAAGUAAUAAAAAAUUUAAGCUAAUACCAUUUAGUUAUAGAUUAGUGAUGAAUUUUAAGAUAAUUUAAUUAGCUAAGAGUGAUGAAUUAACUUUAAAAUAUCGAUAAAUUUCAUAACUAAUUAAUUUCUAGUAAUUUCUAAAACAAAGAUAUAGAUAGGCAUCACUCUUUGUUAAGUCUCUCCCUUGUCAAUGAUUUCCC